AGACUUGUAAAACACAGCUCAUAUGCUUCUUACUUCUUAGGCCAACAUGUUACAUGUGGUUCAAUAAAUCAUCAUAAUGCAGCAAGUCCUUCACCCACUUAAUGUCCAUAUAUAUAUAUAUGAUUCAUCUAGCGACAAAACAAUAAUACAUUUUGUUAAUUCAAUACAAUAAAUGAACAAUGUGUCCAAGUGAGAUACAUUUAAAAAUGUAUGUUAAGAGUUCUUCGUUAGAGAUGCUUUAAUCAAAUUAUCAAUAUACCAAUUGUUAA
This 269-nucleotide long non-coding RNA is filed under the name Medicago truncatula (barrel medic). RNAcentral's name for it is "lncRNA gene5430". Lineage: Eukaryota; Viridiplantae; Streptophyta; Magnoliopsida; Fabales; Fabaceae. The record is from RNAcentral.